CUGCCAUUCACAUACACACAUACCGUGACACACGCGCACACACACAACCCUUCGCCGGCGAUGCCGCGACUCCGCCGACUACCGCCCUCCACCGAACGUGGAAGCUCUUCCUUGUCUCCCUCUCUGUCUCAACACUUCUCUCCCCCUACACACGCACACAUACAUUCAUCUCUGUAUAGCGGCUGUCCCGCCGAUUCUGCCGCCGCCGUCGCUGGACUUCGGAUCUCUUGAAUAGUCUUGUCUAUCCUCUACGUUCAGUAUUGCUAUGUUGCAGCUUCUGUUACGAUCAUUAUUGUGCAUUAGUAAUCUUCCCUCUAGAAGCAACUGCCCAAGAACCUUUACAAGGAACAGUAGAAGUUGAGAAAAAAAGGUUAUGGGAGUCUGAAAUGAGGAGCUUGAUAAUUGAUUUAAGAGCUCUCCUUCUGGUUUGUUGUUGGUACCCUUCAUUCUUGCUUGUUUGAGAUUUAGUAAUUUUUCUAGAUAAUCAAAAUUACUUCCACAAUGUGUCUUGAGUGGCAGCAAGUCUCGUGGUUAUCCUCUUCGUGUGGACAUACUAUCUUACCUCACAAAAAGUAGACGGGGGAAGACAACUGCUACUAGCUUUGAAAUCGUGAUUAAUUUAAUUGAUUGCUUACUGUGUUUUUAAAUCGUGAUUUUUUUUCGAUUCACCUAUUAUUUAUGUUUAUGAAUUGUGAACAGACAUUUAGAUGUACAUGGAGAAAAAAAAGUUCUAUUUCCAAUGAUAAAUUUUUAAAUAGGAGUAGUUUUUAAUAUGAAUACUCAUACUCCAGAACAGCGCAUAAUUGAAAAUCAUCUUACUUAAACUCAAAUGUACUACUACUACUUUUUUUAAAAAAUAUUAGUACAUUUUUGUUAAUUUGUUCGACCCCACCAUAAAUAUUUUCUGAAUCCGUCAUUGCUUAUGUUUAUUUCCUUGUUAGUUCACAUUGUUUUUUGGGAUCGGAAUAGCUGAAUCUUUUAAUAGGUAGUGUGGUUUACCUUGCUCAGAUUAUCUUGCUUGGUAUCAUUUAUUUGGUUUGGAGUUCUCAAAGCUAAAUUUUCUUAUGUUUGUUUGCUAGUUAGUUCACAUUCUUUUAAACACGCAUGGAUGCAUUUGGAGUUGAUGAUUAUCUUAAUAGAUUUUUCAUGCUGCCAAUAAAUUUGUUGCAGGAAACGACUACUAAAAGGUUGUACAAGGCCUUUUUCUAAUUUUUUUCAAUGCAGAAUAUGCAGGCAGUCACCCUUCCCUAAUAAUGUUGGCUCAAAAAUUUCCACUUAAUUUUAAGCUCAUGUUGGUUCUCCUUUUAAAUAUACAGAACUACUAGAUGAAAUAAUGGAGCAUAUCUGCAAAGUUGUGGGCAAUGUCAUGAAAAAUUGAGGUAGUACUAUUGCAUUAUUCUUGUUUUAACUUAGUGCUAAAAUGGUCACAAAUUCUCAACUUUGUCGAGUGACAAUCUGCCACAGUCAUGAAUCCUGUAUGAGAUUAAAAAGAGUCAACGCCUUCACAACUACUUAUCAAUUUACGGUGGUUUCCUUCCCAUUUACCAUUUUGCUCGUGAUAAUAAAAUUUAUGUUUUGUUUGAUACUGUUUAAAUUUUGGAAUUGUUGUAUACAUACUAUUUACAUCUACAAAAUUCGCAAAAUAGUGUUCGUGAGCAAAUUUAGUUGAAGGAUUAGUCGAUAAGGAGAUGGCAGGUCGUUAUGAUCAGAAUCCAUUUGCUGUAAGUGUUUCCUCUUCAUCUGGUAUCAAUUGUUCAAUGUUUGGUGGGAUUAGCGUUUUUUGCUUUUAAUUAUUUGUGAAUGUAGUUUUGUGUACUCUUGAGAUGAAGUAUUUGAAUUUAAGAUAGGGUUUUUGAGGAUGAUCAGACUUAGGCUGACUAUGUGGCCUGAUCUAGUAAUUCAAGAGCUCUUGCUCAGAAAAUAUACGAAUUUGAGAACUACAUUUGAGAACUACAUUUGAGAGGUUUCUAAUAGUACCUUCGGAUUGUAGUUUGAGAAAAAAAAAUGAAUGAUAAACAUACUCUAUUUGCAUUUGGAGUAAUUCUUGUUAUGAAUGAUUGUGGAUUUGGGAUAUUUUGUAUCUUUUGUGACUCCAUUUAUGAAUAAUUUUCUUUAUAUGCUUCAAUUUGAGAACUAAGUAGUCUAUUGUGGUUAUUUUAGAUGAUAUUGUCUAUGGAAGAGAGUCUUGCUGUUUACUUUGUAGCAAAUAGCAAAUUUUACUUUAUAAUCAAAGGUUUAUUGAUGGUUUCCUUUUCUCUUAAUUUGCCUAUCUUUGGAUGAACUAGCAGAAUAUCAAUAUUAUUUGUGAGAUAUGAAAGUGAAGAUCUAUGUUGGGAGAACAUGCAGAAUCCGAGUAAUGAAAGGAAACAAAUAUCAGAUCGAUUGGUAUUGUGUUUGAAUCGACUGCUAUUGUUGAAGAGGUGCUAACAGGAACAGAGAAGACCAACGGAGGAAACACGGUGAUGAGGCUGCAAGGGAUGGUAUAACUGGAAAAGAGAAGUCUGACGAAGGAAACACUGUGAUUAGGACUAAUCAUUUUUAGUACUAGUAUUGUUUUUACAGAAGUAAAAGAUGACCAACACUGUGUUUAGUUUGUGUGUUUAAACACAUUAGAUUUGGUGUAAUUGGAUUUGAUACUUUGGAUAUUAUUACAAUUUUCCAUAUUAUUUGAA
Long non-coding RNA from Salvia splendens (bonfire salvia), 2672 nucleotides. RefSeq lists it as uncharacterized. The record is from RefSeq and is a predicted model, not a curated record. The transcript has 4 exons. Lineage: Eukaryota; Viridiplantae; Streptophyta; Magnoliopsida; Lamiales; Lamiaceae.